AGGAGGGCACGGGUCAGUGGCCAGCUCCACCCAGUCCACUGGAGAUUUUCCCCGCACGAAAGUCUUGUGUCCCCUAAAACAAGGGAGCCCAUGAAGUCGAGGGGGAGCACAGGCAGGUCCCCAGCACAGCUCGCGGGCACGGACGGGCACUGACGGGCAUGCCAGACGCCUCUGCAGAUCCCAGUGUCACUCCUGGUGAUGACGUUUUUAUAAUUGUAGAAAUCUGUCCAUCAGGAAAACUGACUUUUUGGGUGAUCAUUUUGGUGACUUCUACACAGAGACUUGUGUGACCACCACCAAGGACAGAAUCCAGAUCAGCUCUGCCACCCCCCGAAAGCCCCCUGGUGCCAUACCAAGCCGCCCGCGUACUGCAGCUCGCCCAGUUCUUCUGCACACUCAGGAGAAGCCAACCCCAUACGACUUCUUGUUUCUCUCUUAGGAAUUCCCUCGUAGUGGACUAAUUUCUUACUCUUUCCAUUCUCCCCCUUUCAUGACAGGUAAGCGCAGCAUCCUGAUUGCCUUUGUGCGUAGAGAUCAAUUAUAGCAUUUAUGACCUUCUCUGUAGGAGAACAACGAAGCUCUUCACAGGGGGCGGAGGGUUGCGGGGUUGAGAACCCUGGUCCCCAGGAAAUUCCACCAGGUCGUCGGCAACUGCACAAGGUGGGCUUUUUCUCCUUUGAGUGGCCGCCAGCAGCCGGUGUGGCAGGACUCGUAGGAGGAAGACCCAGGUACAGGGCAAAGGGGGCCUGAGGACCCCACGGCUGAUUCACUGUGCAUCUGCGGAUCUUUCAAACCAGGCCUGGCGCUGUGUCACCUCUGGGUCCCUAGCAUGUCUGCUGUCUGAAUGGGUCGCCGUCUUCAGGUCCUCCCCCUUGGACGGCAGUAGGAAGGAUUCGACAGAUGGAAACAGGAACUCCCCUCCCACUCGGCCUGGCUAGCUGGGACAAUAACGAGGAUGGGGACGAUGGGAAGGGCUUGGCAUCCACAGCGCCCUGCGUAGGGACAGGGACGUUUCUAUAGUUUCCACCUUUAUGAAUCAGCGCGCCUGACCCAAGUCAGUGACGGACCCUGAGGAGACCCCCACCCAGGAACCGGGAUGUGAUGGAGACCCAGAGGACGUCAUCAACGGCGUCAAUCCUAGAGCCAGGCCCACGGAGAACCUCGGGAAGGGUUCCUUUGCUCCACACUUCACCUGUAUUUCUGUGUCCCAUGGAGUUCCCAGUGCAACCCACAUGGAUUUGUUUUCUUUGUUUGUUUGUUUGUUUUUUUUUUGGUGCUGGGGAUUAAACUCAGGGACUCGACCACUGAGCCACAUCCCCAGCCCUAAUUUGUAUUUUAAAGAGAGAAUGUGCCUUGGUGCCAAGGCUUGUCUGCUGGAUGCCCCCCCCCACACACACACACACACCUGCACCCCUCCCUGCAGGGAGCUCUAGACCAGGAAGAGACCAUCUUCCACAAAAACGCAGAGCGCUCCACAGCCUCAUGGUCACGGAUGCCGAGCAUAAGUAGUGACAGCAGCUUGCCAGUGGGCAGGACUUGGCAGAGAGUCCCCAUGCAAAUCCGCCGCCACACCAGCACGCUCCGCACAGGGCUGUGAAAUCCGCCUUCACUCGCUCAAUUCACACCCUGGCAGAGCUGCCAACAGCUCUGUGCAUCUACGCAAUAACCCUCAUUCUGUCACCGUUUCCAUGACCUUCACACACCCUCUGACAGCAUUUUUUUUUGUUUUGGGGAAGUGGGGGCUACCUUGAAGAAAUUAAAAUGUCCAAUUCUGUUGGGGGA
Long non-coding RNA from Marmota monax (woodchuck), 1782 nucleotides. RefSeq lists it as uncharacterized. Lineage: Eukaryota; Metazoa; Chordata; Mammalia; Rodentia; Sciuridae. The transcript has 4 exons. The record is from RefSeq and is a predicted model, not a curated record.